CAGUAGCCGCGGUAAUACGAAGGGGGCUAGCGUUGUUCGGAUUUACUGGGCGUAAAGCGCACGUAGGCGGAUCGAUCAGUCAGGGGUGAAAUCCCAGAGCUCAACUCUGGAACUGCCUUUGAUACUGUCGAUCUGGAGUAUGGAAGAGGUGAGUGGAAUUCCGAGUGUAGAGGUGAAAUUCGUAUAUAUUCGGAGGAACACCAGUGGCGAAGGCGGCUCACUGGUCCAUUACUGACGCUGAGGUGCGAAAGCGUGGGGAGCAAACAGGAUUAGAUACCCGCGUAGUCCCUGUCUCUUAUAA
Molecule: ribosomal RNA, 301 nt
Filed under: uncultured bacterium
Lineage: Bacteria
Description: partial 16S ribosomal RNA
Rfam family: Bacterial small subunit ribosomal RNA
Source: RNAcentral